RNAcentral lists this ribosomal RNA (575 nucleotides) under uncultured Caulobacter sp. RNAcentral's name for it is "bacterial SSU rRNA". It matches the Rfam family "Bacterial small subunit ribosomal RNA", at positions 31 to 655 of the family's 1533-position model. The record is from RNAcentral. Lineage: Bacteria; Pseudomonadati; Pseudomonadota; Alphaproteobacteria; Caulobacterales; Caulobacteraceae.
GGACGCUGGCGGCAGGCUACACAUGCAAGUCGAACGGAUCCUUCGGGAUUAGUGGCGGACGGGUGAGUACAAGAACGUGCCCUUUGGUUCGGAACAACUCAGGAAACUUGAGCUAAUACCGGAUGUGCCCUUCGGGGGAAAGAUUUAUCGCCAUUGGAGCGGCCCGCGUCUGAUUAGCUAGUUGGUGGGGUAAAGGCCCACCAAGGCGACGAUCAGUAGCUGGUCUGAGAGGAUGAUCAGCCACAUUGGGACUGAGACACGGUCCAAACUCCUACGGGAGGCAGCAGUGGGGAAUCUUGCGCAAUGGGCGAAAGCCUGACGCAGUCAUGCCGCGUGAAUGAUGAAUGUCUUAGGAUUGUAAAAUUCUUUCACCCGGGGACGAUUAUGACGGUACCCGGAGAAGAAGCCCGGCUUACUUCGUGCCAGCAGACCGGGGUAAUACCGAAGGGGGGCUAAGCGUUGCUCGGAAAUAACUGGGCCGUAAAGGGAGCGUAGGCGGACUGGUUAGUUAAAGGUUAACGCCCUGGGUCAACCUUGGAAUUGGCUUUGAAUACUGGCGUCUUCAACGGCCCGUC